This 520-nucleotide ribosomal RNA is filed under the name Sporosarcina sp. Al-Dhabi-35. RNAcentral's name for it is "bacterial SSU rRNA". It matches the Rfam family "Bacterial small subunit ribosomal RNA", at positions 61 to 564 of the family's 1533-position model. The record is from RNAcentral. Lineage: Bacteria; Bacillati; Bacillota; Bacilli; Caryophanales; Caryophanaceae.
GUCGAGCGGACCGAUGGGAGCUUGCUCCCUGAUAUUAGCGGCGGACGGGUGAGUAACACGUGGGCAACCUGCCCGGCAGAUGGGGAUAACUCCGGGAAACCGGGGCUAAUACCGAAUGGUUGUUUCCUCCGCAUGGAGGAACUCUGAAAGACGGUUUCGGCUGUCACUGCCGGAUGGGCCCGCGGCGCAUUAGCUUGUUGGUGGGGUAACGGCCUACCAAGGCGACGAUGCGUAGCCGACCUGAGAGGGUGAUCGGCCACACUGGGACUGAGACACGGCCCAGACUCCUACGGGAGGCAGCAGUAGGGAAUCUUCCACAAUGGACGAAAGUCUGAUGGAGCAACGCCGCGUGAGCGAAGAAGGUUUUCGGAUCGUAAAGCUCUGUUGUGAGGGAAGAACAAGUACCGGACUAACUGCGCGUACCUUGACCGUACCUCAUCAGAAAGCCACCGCUAACUACGUGCCAACAACCGCGGUAAUACGUAAGUGGCAAGCGUUGUCCGGAAUUAUUGGGCGUAAA